CAGUCGCCACGGUAAUACGAGGGGGGCAAGCGUUGUUCGGAAUUAUUGGGCGUAAAGGGUGCGUAGGCGGUUCAGCAAGUCUCGUGUGAAAUCUUCGGGCUCAACCCGAAGUCUGCACGGGAAACUACUGGGCUUGAGUAUGGGAGAGGUGAGUGGAAUUUCCGGUGUAGCGGUGAAAUGCGUAGAUAUCGGAAGGAACACCUGUGGCGAAAGCGGCUCACUGGACCAUAACUGACGCUGAUGCACGAAAGCUAGGGGAGCAAACAGGAUUAGAUACCCGAGUAGUCCCUGUCUCUUAUAC
This 301-nucleotide ribosomal RNA is filed under the name uncultured bacterium. RNAcentral describes it as "partial 16S ribosomal RNA". It matches the Rfam family "Bacterial small subunit ribosomal RNA", at positions 509 to 807 of the family's 1533-position model. The record is from RNAcentral.